Molecule: long non-coding RNA, 6915 nt
Filed under: Zea mays
Lineage: Eukaryota; Viridiplantae; Streptophyta; Magnoliopsida; Poales; Poaceae
Description: long non-coding RNA (ZMAY_LNC000744)
Source: RNAcentral
CGACAAGGGCGGCAGCAACAAGGGCGCGCCGGGCGGCAAGGGGUGGCAGGAGAUCGGCGUCAUCGAGGAGGAAGGGCUCAUGGACGAGGAGGACCACACGCGGAUCGUGCCCCGCAAGUGCUACUGCUUCCUCGCCUUCCUGCUCGGCUUCGUCGCGCUCUUCUCCUUCUUCGCGCUCGUGCUCUGGGGCGCCAGCAGGUCCCAGAAGCCGCGCAUCGUCAUGGGCACCAUCCGCUUCGACAACUUCAUCAUCCAGGCCGGCACCGACGCGUCGCUCGUGCCCACCGACAUGGCCACCACCAACUCCACCGUCAGAUUCACCUACCGCAACAGGGGCACCUUCUUCGGGAUCCACGUCACCGCCGACCCGUUCCAGCUCUCCUACAGCCAGCUCACGCUCGCGUCAGGAGACGUAAGUGAAUCUGUCCUCGUCCGUCCAUCCAGAUGGAGAUCCAUCUAUCCUGGACUGUCUAACAAAGGGAAUCCGUGAAUGAAAUGCAGCUCCACAACUUCUACCAGCCUCGCAGCAGCAGCCGCACCGUCAGCGUCGCCGUGGUCGGCAACAAGGUGCCGCUGUACGGCGGCGGACCCACGCUGACGGCGGCGCCGGCGGCCGGGGGCAAGGGGCAGCAGCAGGCCAGCGCCAAGGUGGCAUCGGUGCCCAUGGUGCUGAGGACCACGCUGCACUCGCGGGCCUACGUGCUGGGCGCGCUGGUCAAGCCCAAGUUCACGCUCGCCGUCGAGUGCAGGGUGCUCAUGAACCCAAACAAGCAGAACAAGCCCAUCUCGCUCGGGAACGCCUGCCACUACUCAUGAUAUAUUUAGCCUCUCAUACUAGCUGCUCAACAUCACCAUGCCCAUGCAUCCAUCUCCUACCUACCUCUCAAUUGUACUGUAAUGGAGUAUUUAUUGAUUUAUUUAUGCUUUGCUUCGUCUUCUCUUCUCUGUAUUGAUUUUCUUUGUUCAUUCCUUCUACCUUUCGUAUGCAUAUUUUGGGGUUAUUUUCGUCUAUUUUAAUAGUGAUGACGGUGAGGCUAGGUAUGUCUUUCAAGAGUCGUCAGAAGGCGGAAACUUUACAUGUAAACUCAAAACAUUUAAUCUAAAUUAUGGAAUAGUCCAAUGAAAUGAAAAAAUCUACCGCCAAUAUACCGUUAUUCACACACAAGCCCUAGGACCCUAGCUGUAUAUAACCCAUUUUUUAGUAACAUAACUUCAUAAAAGAAGAUGUAACAAAAGCUGUGUAAUUCCUAUCAUGAGGUAACAAAAUAAUUAUACUUCCUAAUGAUCAUAUAAUUUAUUUUAUAAAGGCGAGCCUCUAUGGGAAAUUUGCCAGUUUAUUUAUAUACCAUGCACCCGCGAGGAUUUAUUUCACUGCCUGUGGAUCAAAAUAAAAUAUCAAUGUGUUUUAUAGAAAACAAAAUAAAAUAUAGUUAAAAUAUCAGACUAUUCACGAAUUGAGACAAAAAACAAUAGGGUCCAUCUGUGUCGGCCCAACAAAUGGCCCAAACUGUACAAUUGCCCCAUCCGCAGUCCGUGCGGUCCGCUCGCCGUACCCUUCUUUAUGUUAUUGGGCAAAAAUCUUCACCCAAUUGGUAAACGGGUAUUAAAACGUUCCACCUUCAUUCAUACCUGUUAACCCGUAGAUAUAAAAUACCCAAUAUAAACUUAGCCCAAACAUUAACUUAGAUUUAGUCAUUCAUCUUUUUUACUAUUUAAUAACCUUUUAGGCCAUUAUGUCAUAGAAGGCUUAACUACAAUUUAAUGACCAUGUAAUGGAACAUGUAAUUCACCCAAUGUGUAUUGAAUGGAUGGUUAAAUGAUGCUGGAAAUUUUGUAAUGGUAUUUAGAUGAAUAUACUUUACAUUUGUAUAAUAUAAUAUUUUGAUAGAUGUUUAAUUUUUGUGGGUACGGGUGACCCGAUGGGUGACCUAUACCCACGUGGGUAUGAGUAUGAGGGUAAAUCCAUACCAACCAAUGUAUAUGAGUGAUCAGAUAUGAUUAUUUUUUUGUUGUGGAUAUGAGUAUAUGGUGGUAAUAUCUUGUAGGUAUCUAUUGCCAUCUCUAGCCUGAGGUCCUGAGCGGCGUGCGGCGCUUCUCCAAAUCUCCCAUCCUAUCGACUCACGUUCCUGCGUUCGAAACCCUAUUUCCGUCCGAGGCGGCGGCGGCGGCGGACCGGCAGCUCCCCGCUCGGCUUGUAUUGGGCGGCUGUCGCGCUGCAGCAGCCAGGGGCAUCGUCGCGCUCGCACCAACCGAAGACGGCGUCGGCCUCCACGCGGCACCGACGACCGACCCACCGUCCCAAGUCCAACGAGGAGGCCGGAGCGCUGAGCAGCCGUCUGCAUCCUCCUCCCGAAGGUGAGCCCCCAUCCCCAGUCCUAAUUCACCAGGUACAGGCCGAUUAGCAUAUUAACAGGCCCACACACAACCCAUCACCGCUAAACCCUUUCUUUACAACCAACACAGCAGGCGAUAUAUCACACACACACACAGGACAGGGCAACCCCACCGGUCGGUGUCCACCCCGGGAAUUUGCCUGGCAAGGAUUUGCCUCCCCUGUGCGGGCUCCCCCAGGGUUUUCCUAGCCGGGCUGCCAAAGGAGGCCUUACAGUGACCAUCACCCACUAGGUUUGCCUACCCCUUCUCUUCCCUUCAUGUUGUGCGAACCUGAGCACCCAAACCCUAACUUAAGCUAUUUUGCUAUCUGUACUUGCAUCUGAUAGUUAUCAAUCUAUGCGUCUUUCUUGCCUACUGAAUUAAAUGUUGUGUCUGCCCCUAGUUCUUCUGCGGCGAACAAGGUCAAUCCAGGGCCGUGGUGCGGGUGCUGUUUUUUUUCCAACAAGUUUAUGUUGGUCGCUCGACCGCUGCAGCAAUGAAGAUGUGAGUGCUCGUGUCUCACCGCCAACCUAUAACUUUUUGUUGUUCCUUGUUACUUGUAUGCCGCGCCAACCUGUGCAUCGUCUACUGUACAUAUACUUUUUUUCCUGAGCACCACUGUACGUAUUUCGCACCAUGCAUUUCUUUGAAAAAAAAUGAUCCGACAUGUGCUUCAGAAGUUGCUGUUGGCCUGGGUUCAACCAGGCUGCCUUGGAUGCGAGUCCUUGAUUAAUGAUCUUUUUCAGUUUUGCUGGAUAAUUUUCUCGAACUUUAACCAUAAAUGGGUGAUCAAGUGUGAGGCCAACCAUGUAGAUUUUUCAAGUUUAUUUCUCAAUUUUCAAGGCCGACAAGGGCGGCAGCAACAAGGGCACGCCGGGCGGCAAGGGGUGGCAGGAGAUCGGCAUCAUCGAGGAGGAAGGGCUCAUGGACGAGGAGGACCACACGCGUAUCGUGCCCCACAAGUGCUACUGCUUCCUCGCCUUCCUGCUCGGCUUCGUCGCGCUCUUCUCCUUCUUCGCGCUCGUGCUCUGGGGCGCCAGCAGGUCCCAGAAGCCGCGCAUCGUCAUGGGCACCAUCCGCUUCGACAACUUCAUCAUCCAGGCCGGCACCGACGCGUCGCUCGUGCCCACCGACAUGGCCACCACCAACUCUACCGUCAGAUUCACCUACCGUAACAGGGGCACCUUCUUCGGGAUCCACGUCACCGCCGACCCGUUCCAGCUCUCCUACAGCCAGCUCACGCUCGCGUCAGGAGACGUAAGUGAAUCUGUCCUCGUCCGUCCAUCCAGAUGGAGAUCCAUCUAUCCUGGACUGUCUAACAAAGGGAAUCCGUGAAUGAAAUGCAGCUCCACAACUUCUACCAGCCUCGCAGCAGCAGCCGCACCGUCAGCGUCGCCGUGGUCGGCAACAAGGUGCCGCUGUACGGCGGCGGGCCCACGCUGACGGCGGCGCCGGCGGCCGGGGGCAAGGGGCAGCAGCAGGCCAGCGCCAAGGUGGCGUCGGUGCCCAUGGUGCUGAGGACCACGCUGCACUCGCGGGCCUACGUGCUGGGCGCGCUGGUCAAGCCCAAGUUCACGCUCGCCGUCGAGUGCAGGGUGCUCAUGAACCCAAACAAGCAGAACAAGCCCAUCUCGCUCCGGAACGCCUACCACUACUCAUGAUAUAUUUAGCCUCUCAUACUAGCUGCUCAACAUCACCAUGCCCAUGCAUCCAUCUCCUACCUACCUCUCAAUUGUACUGUAAUGGAGUAUUUAUUGAUUUAUUUAUGCUUUGCUUCGUCUUCUCUUCUCUGUAUUGAUUUUCUUUGUUCAUUCCUUCUACCUUUCGUAUGCAUAUUUUGGGGUUAUUUUCGUCCAUUUUAAUAGUGAUGACGGUGAGGCUAGGUAUGUCUUUCAAGAGUCGUCAGAAGGCGGAAACUUUACAUGUAAACUCAAAACAUUUAAUCUAAAUUAUGGAAUGGUCCAAUGAAAUGAAAAAAUCUACCGCCAAUAUACCGUUAUUCACACACAAGCCCUAGGACCCUAGCUGUAUAUAACCCAUUUUUUAGUAACAUAACUUCGUAAAAGAAGAUGUAACAAAAGCUGUGUAAUUCCUAUCAUGAGGUAACAAAAUAAUUAUACUUCCUAAUGAUCAUAUAAUUUAUUUUAUAAAGGCGAGCCUCUAUGGGAAAUUUGCCAGUUUAUUUAUAUACCAUGCACCCGCGAGGAUUUAUUUCACUGCCUGUGGAUCAAAAUAAAAUAUCAAUGUGUUUUACAGAAAACAAAAUAAAAUAUAGUUAAAAUAUCAGACUAUUCACGAAUUGAGACCAAAAAACAAUAGGGUCCAUCUGUGUCGGCCCAACAAAUGGCCCAAACUGUACAAUUGCCCCAUCCGCAGUCCGUGCGGUCCGCUCGCCGUACCCUUCUUUAUGUUAUUGGGCAAAAAUCUUCACCCAAUUGGUAAACGGGUAUUAAAACGUUCCACCUUCAUUCAUACCUGUUAACCCGUAGAUAUAAAAUACCCAAUAUAAACUUAGCCCAAACAUUAACUUAGAUUUAGUCAUUCAUCUUUUUUACUAUUUAAUAACCUUUUAGGCCAUUAUGUCAUAGAAGGCUUAACUACAAUUUAAUGACCAUGUAAUGGAACAUGUAAUUCACCCAAUGUGUAUUGAAUGGAUGGUUAAAUGAUGCUGGAAAUUUUGUAAUGGUAUUUAGAUGAAUAUACUUUAGAUUUGUAUAAUAUAAUAUUUUGAUAGAUGUUUAAUUUUUGUGGGUACGGGUGACCCGAUGGGUGACCUAUACCCACGUGGGUAUGAGUAUGAGGGUAAAUCCAUACCAACCAAUGUAUAUGAGUGAUCAGAUAUGAUUAUUUUUUUGUUGUGGAUAUGAGUAUAUGGUGGUAAUAUCUUGUAGGUAUCUAUUGCCAUCUCUAGCCUGAGGUCCUGAGCGGCGUGCGGCGCUUCUCCAAAUCUCCCAUCCUAUCGACGCACGUUCCUGCGUUCGAAACCCUAUUUCCGUCCGAGGCGGCGGCGGCGGCGGACCGGCAGCUCCCCGCUCGGCUUGUAUUGGGCGGUUGUCGCGCUGCAGCAGCCAGGGGCAUCGUCGCGCUCGCACCAACCGAAGACGGCGUCAGCCUCCACGCGGCACCGACGACCGACCCACCGUCCCAAGUCCAACGAGGAGGCCGGAGCGCUGAGCAGCCGUCUGCAUCCUCCUCCCGAAGGUGAGCCCCCAUCCCCAGUCCUAAUUCACCAGGUACAGGCCGAUUAGCAUAUUAACAGGCCCACACACAACCCAUCACCGCUAAACCCUUUCUUUACAACCAACACAGCAGGCGAUAUAUCACACACACACAGGACAGGGCAACCCCACCGGUCGGUGUCCACCCCGGGAAUUUGCCUGGCAAGGAUUUGCCUCCCCUGUGUGGGCUCCCCCAAAGUUUUCCUAGCCGGGCUGCCAAAGGAGGCCUUACAGUGACCAUCACCCACUAGGUUUGCCUACCCCUUCUCUUCCCUUCCUGUUGUGCGAAACUGAGCACCCAAACCCUAACUUAAGCUAUUUUGCUAUCUGUACUUGCAUCUGAUAGUUAUCAAUCUAUGCGUCUUUCUUGGCUACUGAAUUAAAUACUGUGUCUGCCCCUAGUUCUUCUGCGGCGAACAAGGUCAAUCCAGGGCCGUGGUGCGGGUGCUGUUUUUUUUCCAACAAGUUUAUGUUGGUCGCUCGACCGCUGCAGCAAUGAAGAUGUGAGUGCUCGUGUCUCACCGCCAACCUAUAACUUUUUGUUGUUCCUUGUUACUUGUAUGUCGCGCCAACCUAUGCAUCGUCUACUGUACAUAUACUUUUUUUUCCUGAGCACCACUGUACGUAUUUCGCACCAUGCAUUUCUUUGAAAAAAAAUGAUCCGACAUGUGCUUCAGAAGUUGCUGUUGGCCUGGGUUCAACCAGGCUGCCUUGGAUGCGAGUCCUUGAUUAAUGAUCUUUUUCAGUUUUGCUGGAUAAUUUUCUCGAACUUUAACCAUAAAUGGGUGAUCAAGUGUGAGGCCAACCAUGUAGAUUUUUCAAGUUUAUUUCUCAAUUUUCAAGGCCGACAAGGGCGGCAGCAACAAGGGCGCGCCUGGCAGCAAGGGGUGGCAGGAGAUCGGCGUCAUCGAGGAGGAAGGGCUCAUGGACGAGGAGGACCACACGCGGAUCGUGCCCUGCAAGUGCUACUGCUUCCUCGCCUUCCUGCUCGGCUUCGUCGCGCUCUUCUCCUUCUUCGCGCUCGUGCUCUGGGGCGCCAGCAGGUCCCAGAAGCCGCGCAUCGUCAUGGGCACCAUCCGCUUCGACAACUUCAUCAUCCAGGCCGGCACCGACGCGUCGCUCGUGCCCACCGACAUGGCCACCACCAACUCCACCGUCAGAUUCACCUACCGCAACAGGGGCACCUUCUUCGGGAUCCACGUCACCGCCGACCCGUUCCAGCUCUCCUACAGCCAGCUCACGCUCGCGUCAGGAGACGUAAGUGAAUCUGUCCUCGUCCGUCCAUCCAGAUGGAGAUCCAUCUAUCCUGGACUGUCUAACAAAG